AGUGGGGAAUAUUGGGCAGUGGGGGAAACCCUGACGCAGCAACGCCGCGUGAGUGAAGAAGGCCCUUGGGUCGUAAAGCUCUGUCAACUGGGAAGAAGUUGUUAUUGUUUAAUAAAUGAUAGCAUUGACGGUACCAGUGGAGGAAGCGCCGGCUAACUCCGUGCCAGCAGCCGCGGUAACACGGGGGGCGCAAGCGUUAUUCGGAAUUAUUGGGCGUAAAGGGCGCGUAGGCGGUUCUGUCGGUCAGAUGUGAAAGCCCGGGGCUCAACCCUGGAAGUGCAUUUGAAACAGCAGAACUUGAGUACGGGAGAGGAAAGCGGAAUUCCUGGUGUAGAGGUGAAAUUCGUAGAUAUCAGGAGGAACACCGAUGGCGAAGGCAGCUUUCUGGACCGAUACUGACGCUGAGGCGCGAAGGCGUGGGUAGCGAACAGGAUUAGAUACCCUGGUAGUCCACGCAGUAAACGAUGUUCACUAGGUGUAGCGGAUAUUAAAAUCUGCUGUGCCGCAGCUAACGCAUUAAGUGAACCGCCUGGGAAGUACGGUCGCAAGACUA
Molecule: ribosomal RNA, 553 nt
Filed under: uncultured bacterium
Lineage: Bacteria
Description: bacterial SSU rRNA
Rfam family: Bacterial small subunit ribosomal RNA
Source: RNAcentral